CAAGGAAUUUUCCGCAAUGGGCGCAAGCCUGACGGAGCAACGCCGCGUGGGGGAUGACGCUUUUCGGAGUGUAAACCUCUUUUCUCAGGGAUGAAAACAAUGACAGUACCUGAGGAAUAAGGACCGGCUAACUACGUGCCAGCAGCCGCGGUAAUACGUAGGGUCCGAGCGUUGUCCGGAGUUACUGGGCGUAAAGCGCGCGCAGGUGGCUCGAUAAGACUGGCGUGAAAGCCCCCGGCUCAACCGGGGAGGGUCGUUGGUGACUGUCGAGCUUGAGGGCAGCAGGGGCAGGUGGAAUUCCCGGUGUAGUGGUGAAAUGCGUAGAGAUCGGGAGGAACACCCGUGGCGAAGGCGGCCUGCUGGGCUGACCCUGACACUGAGGCGCGAAGGCGUGGGGAGCGAACGG
RNAcentral lists this ribosomal RNA (406 nucleotides) under uncultured bacterium. RNAcentral's name for it is "bacterial SSU rRNA". It matches the Rfam family "Bacterial small subunit ribosomal RNA", at positions 355 to 775 of the family's 1533-position model. The record is from RNAcentral.